GGCUUGUUUGAAUGGCUUGACGAGAUAAGGAUGAAUAUUUGUUGUUUAUUUGAAAUUAUUAUUGAGGGCACAGAAGCCUCAGUGAUUAAUUAGACGGAAAGACCCCGGGAUCUUUUGAUUUUGUCUGGGGCAGAUUUUAGUAUUUUACUAAUAUUGUGACCCCUAAUUGGUUUAGUGGGCUAAGUUACCCCGGGGAUAACAGUGUAAUGAUUAAUGAGAGAUCGUAUCGAAUUAGUUGUUUGCCACCUCGAUGUUGACUUAGGUAAAACUACUGGCGCAGUUGUUUGUAGUUUGGGUCUGUUCGACCCUUAAUACCUCCAUGAGUUGAGUUAAGACCGGCGUGAGCCAGGUCGGUUCUUAUCUAUUGAGGAGAUUUACUAGUACGAAAGGACCGUAAAUCUUUUUAUU
This 408-nucleotide ribosomal RNA is filed under the name Schizorchis yamashitai. RNAcentral describes it as "partial large subunit ribosomal RNA". It matches the Rfam family "Bacterial large subunit ribosomal RNA", at positions 1985 to 2708 of the family's 2925-position model. The record is from RNAcentral. Lineage: Eukaryota; Metazoa; Platyhelminthes; Cestoda; Cyclophyllidea; Anoplocephalidae.